RNAcentral lists this long non-coding RNA (397 nucleotides) under Fukomys damarensis (Damara mole-rat). RNAcentral describes it as "lncRNA (ENSFDAG00000023581.1)". Lineage: Eukaryota; Metazoa; Chordata; Mammalia; Rodentia; Bathyergidae. The record is from RNAcentral.
UUGUUCCCUCAAUUUAUUGUACUACAAAUGUGUUGGUUUUCUCUUUCAGAAAAUUCCUUCCAACCCACUGAUCAAUAAUGUGUUCAGAGACUUAGUCAUCCAGUAUUUCACUUCAAAGGAAGGUACCUGCAUUCCAUCUGGAAAUUCUGAGGCAUGUUCACAACAAUUAUGAGGACGCAUUCAUUUCAGAUUUCUCUCUUUCCCAACUUUCUUAUCAUUUCCUGACAACUGGUCCAUCAUUUGAAACUGCAGCUGCUGCAGUCUGCUCAGUUUGACCAACAUUGCAAUCACUGAGAAGACUCCUUAAAUCAUAAAUGGAUGAAUCACACUCAAGACAUUCUGAUUUCUAUGUUCAGAGUGGGGUAAAAUAAUUUGCAUCUGUAAAGAAUAAAACAGG